UGUAAAGUAUGUGUCUUACUGGUAAUGUUGAAUUUUGAUUAUUUUCCAUAACCAUCAGCAGAAGAGACUCUUCCUCACAUCGAGAGCCCUGAAAUUCCACCAACCAAGAAGCGAAGACAACGGCCGUUGGUUGAAAUGCCGGAAGAAGUCGGUGCUAUGAGGCCUUCCUCCCAAGCAGAGACUCUUCCUCACAUCGAGAGCCCUGAAAUGCCACCACCCAAGAAACGCAGACAACGGUGGAAAUGCCGGAAGAAGUUGGCGCUAUGAGGCCUUCCUCCCAAGGUAAAGCUGCAAAGAAGAAAAAACCCUGGCAGCCGACGGAGGUCCAGGCAGUCGAGAGGCACAUGACUCGCUUCAUCACCUCUUGCAUUGUACCUGGGAAGAGUGAUUGCGAGAA
RNAcentral lists this long non-coding RNA (397 nucleotides) under Gadus morhua (Atlantic cod). Its description in RNAcentral is "lncRNA (ENSGMOG00000033777.1)". The record is from RNAcentral. Lineage: Eukaryota; Metazoa; Chordata; Actinopteri; Gadiformes; Gadidae.